GUGCACAGUCGAUAAUUCACGUGCACGCAUGGUCCACGCUCGCGUGAAUCAUGAUUAAGUGUGUUGCUAGGCUAACAGGUCGUAUGACUUGCGCUUUCUCUGCGAGCAGUUAUCGCAGUGGGCGAGCCGCAGUGGUUAUAGAAAAGAGAGCCCCAAUACUGGAAAUGGUGGUUGCUACACGCCAUGUUCUUUGCAGAAAUCGACUUUCUCGAGAAACUGUUUGCUCCAGAAAAGAUUUUUACGUGAUGUAGUGAUCAUCAUACAAAACGGCAAAGAUGGCAAAACAUUAGACGAUGAAACGAGCUCCAGAGACAGAAAGGAGUGUCAUGACAUAACUCCUCUUGAUGCAAUUUCAAGUCUGUUAACUAGAGCCUACAUCAUAUGAUUCGUUCUGCAAAAGGGAGGUAGGCAUCAACAGGUACAGCUUUGAAUUGCUUCUGUUCAUGAACUAAUAUUGUACACUUGCAUAGAGAACCAUUAAUCUUCUGAACAGACGAGACUGUGCUGCAUUUGACUUCCCAAAUGUCAAUACAGAAAGAGGAAUGAUCGUCAACGUUCCUGUAACGACCCAGUUCAGUUUUCCACACACAAGCACGAUGAUGCCUAGCGAGUCAGCUUGUAGAAACCUAUCUAGCCAACUUCGGGAAGUACUGAGUUAUCACCAGACAAAUCAAGACAACACCUACGCUGCAGGCUUCCUUUCUGGAAUUUCUGGAUUUAUGAGUUUGAAGCAAUGCGUGAAGCCAAAGAAAUUGCAUUUCAGGUACUAACUAUUAGUCAUAGAAGCUGGGAUAGUGUUAUACCAGUUUCAUUUAUUGUUUACCAAGUUUUAAAAGUACAUAUAGUCUGCUACUCUUAGAACAUUGCAUCGGUUUCUGUACGGUUGAGGAAAUGAAUGGUGUAGGAAGGGUACUGUAGAUACAUGUAGGUACAUUUGUGUGUCAAAACCUGAUACUGUUAGAGUCUAUGUCAUCAUCUACAUGAUAGC
Molecule: long non-coding RNA, 988 nt
Organism: Corticium candelabrum
Lineage: Eukaryota; Metazoa; Porifera; Homoscleromorpha; Homosclerophorida; Plakinidae
Exons: 3
Source: RefSeq, a predicted model, not a curated record